CCGGUCCGCACUGGUGUGAUGGAUUCCUACCUUCUGAAUAACCAGCAUGUCAUUAAUUUGGUGCGUUGGGGAAGCAGGACUGUUACCUUGAAAAAAUUAGAGUGCUUAAAGCAGGCUAGUGCCUGAAUACAUUAGCAUGGAAUAAUGAAAUAGGACGGCAUGGUUCUAUUUUGUUGGUUUCUAGGAUCACCGUAAUGAUUAAUAGGGAUAGUUGGGGGCAUUAGUAUUCAAUUGUCAGAGGUGAAAUUCUUGGAUUUAUUGAAGACUAACUUCUGCGAAAGCAUUUGCCAAGGAUGUUUUCAUUAAUCAAGAACGAAAGUUAGGGGAUCGAAGACGAUCAGAUACCGUCGUAGUCUUAACCAUAAACUAUGCCGACUAGGGAUCGGACGAUGUUAAUUUUUUAAUGACUCGUUCGGCGCCUUACG
This 425-nucleotide ribosomal RNA is filed under the name uncultured Glomeromycotina. Its description in RNAcentral is "SSU rRNA". It matches the Rfam family "Eukaryotic small subunit ribosomal RNA", at positions 670 to 1092 of the family's 1831-position model. Lineage: Eukaryota; Fungi; Glomeromycota. The record is from RNAcentral.